This is a long non-coding RNA of Carassius auratus (goldfish), 227 nucleotides long. RefSeq lists it as uncharacterized. NCBI's taxonomy places the organism in Eukaryota, Metazoa, Chordata, Actinopteri, Cypriniformes, Cyprinidae. The transcript is spliced from 2 exons. The record is from RefSeq and is a predicted model, not a curated record.
GAUUGUUUGAGUUGUUGAUGAUCAAUGGUGUGUUUGUUCUGCAGAAGUUUCCAGUCUCGAUGGAAAGAGUUCAGAUCUCAUCACAGCCGGAUCCACAGACUCCUUCUGGAGCUCUGAUUCAUGUGCCACGAUACUUGGGAAACCUGCCCUUCAGAGUCUGGAAGAAGAUGCAGGACAUCGUCCAGAACAGUGAGUCUGACUGCAGGAGAUCUGAGCUCACACACACU